RNAcentral lists this ribosomal RNA (534 nucleotides) under uncultured bacterium. RNAcentral's name for it is "bacterial SSU rRNA". It matches the Rfam family "Bacterial small subunit ribosomal RNA", at positions 777 to 1316 of the family's 1533-position model. The record is from RNAcentral.
AAUAGAUACCCCGGUAGUCCACGCCCUAAACGAUGUCAACUAGCUGUUGGGGUCUUCGGACCUUGGUAGCGCAGCUAACGCGUGAAGUUGACCGCCUGGGGAGUACGGUCGCAAGAUUAAAACUCAAAGGAAUUGACGGGGACCCGCACAAGCGAUGGAUGAUGUGGAUUAAUUCGAUGCAACGCGAAAAACCUUACCUACCCUUGACAUGUCUGGAAUGCCGAAGAGAUUUGGCAGUGCUCGCAAGAGAACCGGAACACAGGUGCUGCAUGGCUGUCGUCAGCUCGUGUCGUGAGAUGUUGGGUUAAGUCCCGCAACGAGCGCAACCCUUGUCAUUAGUUGCUACGAAAGGGCACUCUAAUGAGACUGCCGGUGACAAACCGGAGGAAGGUGGGGAUGACGUCAAGUCCUCAUGGCUCUUAUGGGUAGGGCUUCACACGUCAUACAAUGGUCGGGACAGAGGGUCGCCAACCCGCGAGGGGGAGCCAAUCCCAGAAACCCGAUCGUAGUCCGGAUCGCAGUCUGCAACUCGAC